GGGGCUGUGGCUCAAUGGUAGAGCACUCGCCUGGCAUGUGUGAGGCACUGGGUUUGAUCCUCAGCACCA
This 69-nucleotide transfer RNA is filed under the name Ictidomys tridecemlineatus (thirteen-lined ground squirrel). RNAcentral's name for it is "Spermophilus tridecemlineatus (thirteen-lined ground squirrel) tRNA". It matches the Rfam family "tRNA". Rfam says of the family: Transfer RNA (tRNA) molecules are approximately 80 nucleotides in length. The record is from Rfam by way of RNAcentral. Lineage: Eukaryota; Metazoa; Chordata; Mammalia; Rodentia; Sciuridae.